RNAcentral lists this ribosomal RNA (567 nucleotides) under uncultured organism. RNAcentral describes it as "bacterial SSU rRNA". It matches the Rfam family "Bacterial small subunit ribosomal RNA", at positions 828 to 1406 of the family's 1533-position model. The record is from RNAcentral.
GGUAUAGAUUCCCUCCGUGCCGAAGCUUAACGCGUUAAGCAUCCCGCCUGGGGACUACGUCCGCAAGGCUAAAACUCUAACGAAUUGACGGGUCCCCGCACAAGCAGCGGAGCGUGUGGUUUAAUUCGAUGCUACACGAAGAACCUUACCUGGGUUUGACAUGCAAGUAGUAGUGAAGCGAAAGCGGAACGACCCUUCGGUGAGCUUGCACAGGUGCUGCAUGGCUGUCGUCAGCUCGUUCCGUGAGUUGUCGGGUUAAGUCCCGUAACGAGCGCAACCCUUGCCCUUAGUUAUACGUGUCUAAGGGGACUGCCCGGGACAACUGGGGGGAAGCUGGGGAUGACGUCAAGUCAGCAUGGCCUUUAUAUCCAGGGCGACACACACGCUACAAUGGCCGGUACAAUGGGUUGCCAAGCCGUGAGNCGGAGCCAAUCCCCGCAAGCCCGGUCUAAGUUCGGAUUGUGGGCUGCAACUCGCCCACAUGAAGCUGGAGUUGCUAGUACUCGCGCGUCAGCCAUAGUGCGGUGAUACGUUCCCGGGGAUGUACACACCGCCCGUCACGUCAUG